Nicotiana attenuata is the source of this 439-nucleotide long non-coding RNA. RefSeq lists it as uncharacterized. The transcript has 3 exons. NCBI's taxonomy places the organism in Eukaryota, Viridiplantae, Streptophyta, Magnoliopsida, Solanales, Solanaceae. The record is from RefSeq and is a predicted model, not a curated record.
UUAACUGCAAUCUUGGCUUCUAAGUUUUGGAUCUGGGGGCCUCGCUCAACGCGUUAUUUGUCAUCGAUUGCAGUUUGGGAUGUCCAUUACUGACUCUUAGCACAUACUACUAUUACCUUUCCUUUCUCUCCGGCUUUCCAGAAAGAUUUUUUUGAAAAAUCCAAGUGCACAAUUACUUCAAGUUUGCCUUUUUGCCAACCGGGCGUCCCAAUUUAAAGUUGUACUGCACUAUUUCAGUAAGAAAUGUAUGAUAACCUUGGAGCACAGCCUGGAGUUCCAAGACCGCCUGCUAAUACGCAGGCAAAUCCUUUUGGAAAUGCAUUCUCUGGUGCUAGCUCUGGUUUCAUCAGAGGUGGAUUAGGGGCUUAUGGAGAAAAAAUCCUUGGAUCUAGUUCUCAGUAUGUUCAAAGCAAUGUAAGUUUUUCAAUGUAGUUUCUUU